This 236-nucleotide long non-coding RNA is filed under the name Capsicum annuum. RNAcentral's name for it is "long non-coding RNA (CANN_LNC015602)". Lineage: Eukaryota; Viridiplantae; Streptophyta; Magnoliopsida; Solanales; Solanaceae. The record is from RNAcentral.
CCCCAUAAGUACUAGGCACUUCAUUCACCUCAUUUUCUUCCUCAAAAUUGUAAAUCUCAAAUCUGCCCAAGUUUUGAUCAUGGCUAUUUUCAUAGCCUCUGCAAUCUCCCUCAACUUCGUAGCCAUAAAACCCCUCACUACAAUCAUAGUCUCCCAUGUUGUAGUCACAAUAAUCCCCAGCUAUCGAAGACAUGUUCCCCUUAUAUUACCUUUUAAACCUACAAAAUAAACAAACA